UACGUAGGGUGCGAGCGUUGUCCGGGAUUACUGGGCGUAAAGAGCUCGUAGGUGGUUUGUCGCGUUGUUCGUGAAAUCUCACGGCUUAACUGUGAGCGUGCGGGCGAUACGGGCAGACUAGAGUACUGCAGGGGAGACUGGAAUUCCUGGUGUAGCGGUGGAAUGCGCAGAUAUCAGGAGGAACACCGGUGGCGAAGGCGGGUCUCUGGGCAGUAACUGACGCUGAGGAGCGAAAGCGUGGGGAGCGAACAGGAUUAGAUACCCUGGUAGUCCACGCCGUAAACGGUGGGUACUAGGUGUGGGUUUCCUUCCUUGGGAUCCGUGCCGUAGCUAACGCAUUAAGUACCCCGCCUGGGGAGUACGGCCGCAAGGCUAAAACUC
This 381-nucleotide ribosomal RNA is filed under the name uncultured Mycobacterium sp. Its description in RNAcentral is "bacterial SSU rRNA". It matches the Rfam family "Bacterial small subunit ribosomal RNA", at positions 524 to 902 of the family's 1533-position model. Lineage: Bacteria; Bacillati; Actinomycetota; Actinomycetes; Mycobacteriales; Mycobacteriaceae. The record is from RNAcentral.